UACCAGCUCUCCGAGUGGUGUGGAUGUUUAUUGGGCCUAAAGCAUCCGUAGCUGGCCAAGUUAGUCCCCUGUUAAAUCCACCGAUUUAAUCGUUGGAGUGCGGGGGAUACUGCUUGGCUAGGGGACGGGAGAGGCAGACGGUAUUUUCGGGGUAGGGGUGAAAUCCUAUAAUCCCGGGAAGACCACCAGUGGCGAAGGCUGUCUGCUAGAACGCGCCCGACGGUGAGGGAUGAAAGCUGGGGGAGCGAACCGGAUUAGAUACCCGGGUAGUCCCAGCUGUAAACGAUGCAGGCUAGGUGUGUGGACGGCCACGUGCCGUUCUAGUGCCGCAGGGAAGCCGUUAAGCCUGCCGCCUGGGGAGUACGGUCGCAAGGCUGAA
RNAcentral lists this ribosomal RNA (379 nucleotides) under uncultured bacterium. Its description in RNAcentral is "bacterial SSU rRNA". It matches the Rfam family "Archaeal small subunit ribosomal RNA", at positions 474 to 853 of the family's 1478-position model. The record is from RNAcentral.